GACGAACGCUGGCGGCGUGCUUAACACAUGCAAGUCGAACGGAAAGGCCCUGCGUUUGUGGGGUGCUCGUGUGGCGAACGGGUGAGUAACACGUGAGUAACCUGCCCUUGACUUUGGGAUAACUUCAGGAAACUGGGGCUCAUACAGGAUAGGAGCUCCUGCUGCACGGUGGUGGUUGGAAAGUUUCGGCGGUUGGGGCUGGACUCGCGGCUUAUCAGCUUGUUGGUGUGGUAGUGGCCUACCAAGGCUUUGAGGGGUAGCCGGCCUGAGAGGGUGACCGGCCUCAUUGGGACUGAGAUACGGAGCAGACGGCUACGGGAGGCAGCAGUGGGGAAUAUUGCGGAACAGGGGGAAGCCAGAUGCAGCAGCGCCGCGUGCGGGAUGCCGGCCUUCGGGUGGUAAACAGCUGUCGCCUUUGACAAGGCGGGAGUGACGGUAAUGGGUAAAGAAGCACCGGCUAACUACGUG
This 468-nucleotide ribosomal RNA is filed under the name uncultured bacterium. Its description in RNAcentral is "partial 16S ribosomal RNA". It matches the Rfam family "Bacterial small subunit ribosomal RNA", at positions 28 to 507 of the family's 1533-position model. The record is from RNAcentral.